Long non-coding RNA from Cyprinus carpio (common carp), 356 nucleotides. RefSeq lists it as uncharacterized. The record is from RefSeq and is a predicted model, not a curated record. The transcript has 2 exons. NCBI's taxonomy places the organism in Eukaryota, Metazoa, Chordata, Actinopteri, Cypriniformes, Cyprinidae.
CAUAGUUAAAUUAUUUAUUUUUAGAACCAAAUAACACAAAUAAGAUAAAGACUAAAGGGUUGCAGUCUGUGUUGAUGAGUUUUCAGAUUCUUUCUCGAAGUUGCAUCGUUGCGCCAGUAGGUGGCGUCAAGUGAGUGAAUCUUUGAAUCAUUCGAAUCAUGGACUCAACAGAUUCACUUAAUAUAGGAAUGAAACACCACUACGAUGUGUACUCGACGACUGAUUAAAACAGUUCACUGGUGAAGCAGAAAUAUUCAGACUUAACAACUAUACAAUAUCGUAUCUAAAAUGGCCUGUCCAUGCCUGUUAUUGUGCCCGGUUGUGGAUCUUUCUAUCAGGCUGGCGAUGUUUACAGG